RNAcentral lists this long non-coding RNA (540 nucleotides) under Brassica napus (rape). RNAcentral's name for it is "long non-coding RNA (BNAP_LNC019601)". Lineage: Eukaryota; Viridiplantae; Streptophyta; Magnoliopsida; Brassicales; Brassicaceae. The record is from RNAcentral.
GAGAGGGGUUUGUGUAUUCUAAAUGUUAAGAUUUUUGGUUUGGGGAGUGAGAAAGAUGAGAAAGAUGAACAAAAGAGUGUCAUUAGAAAAGAAAACUCUAGGGACAAAAGGAAAGUAUGAAACUCUAGAUUAUGUACAAAAGAACCUUCCCCCUUAUAAGAAAAAAAUCCCCCUUGAAAAAAAAAGAGAAGAAUCAAAGAGAAGGUGGGGAGGGAAAUGAGAAAGUGUUAGAGCUAAGUGUUGUAAAAAGUGAAUUAAAGUCCCUAGUUGGUUGAGUCAAAAGAAAAAGAGAGUUGUUCUUUGGGUGAGUGAUGUGAGUGGUUGUUAUUUUGGUUUUGAGAUGAUGAUAAAAGGGUAGAACUUGUAAUCACUUAUAAAAAGGGGUAGAAUGAUGAGAAUGAAUCUAUGUAUGCAUGAGUUGCUUCUAGUCUUAGAUAAAUUUUGCAUAAUGAUCAAGCUCCUUAUUUUUUAGUGAUAACCACCUUGAAAUGACAACAUUUGAAUCUUUCUCUUCAUUCAUAUUAGACCAUUGCUUACCUA